RNAcentral lists this ribosomal RNA (1436 nucleotides) under Vibrio scophthalmi. Its description in RNAcentral is "bacterial SSU rRNA". It matches the Rfam family "Bacterial small subunit ribosomal RNA". The record is from RNAcentral. Lineage: Bacteria; Pseudomonadati; Pseudomonadota; Gammaproteobacteria; Vibrionales; Vibrionaceae.
GAUUGAACGCUGGCGGCCAGGCCUAACACAUGCAAGUCGAGCGGUAACAUAUAGAAAGCUUGCUUUCUUUGCUGACGAGCGGCGGACGGGUGAGUAAUGCCUGGGAAUAUGCCUUGAUGUGGGGGAUAACCAUUGGAAACGAUGGCUAAUACCGCAUAAUGCCUACGGGCCAAAGAGGGGGAUCUUCGGACCUCUCGCGUCAAGAUUAGCCCAGGUGGGAUUAGCUAGUUGGUGAGGUAAUGGCUCACCAAGGCGACGAUCCCUAGCUGGUCUGAGAGGAUGAUCAGCCACACUGGAACUGAGACACGGUCCAGACUCCUACGGGAGGCAGCAGUGGGGAAUAUUGCACAAUGGGCGCAAGCCUGAUGCAGCCAUGCCGCGUGUGUGAAGAAGGCCUUCGGGUUGUAAAGCACUUUCAGUCGUGAGGAAGGUAGUUGCGUUAAUAGCGUAAUUAUUUGACGUUAGCGACAGAAGAAGCACCGGCUAACUCCGUGCCAGCAGCCGCGGUAAUACGGAGGGUGCGAGCGUUAAUCGGAAUUACUGGGCGUAAAGCGCAUGCAGGUGGUUUGUUAAGUCAGAUGUGAAAGCCCGGGGCUCAACCUCGGAAUUGCAUUUGAAACUGGCAGACUAGAGUACUGUAGAGGGGGGUAGAAUUUCAGGUGUAGCGGUGAAAUGCGUAGAGAUCUGAAGGAAUACCGGUGGCGAAGGCGGCCCCCUGGACAGAUACUGACACUCAGAUGCGAAAGCGUGGGGAGCAAACAGGAUUAGAUACCCUGGUAGUCCACGCCGUAAACGAUGUCUACUUGGAGGUUGUGGCCUUGAGCCGUGGCUUUCGGAGCUAACGCGUUAAGUAGACCGCCUGGGGAGUACGGUCGCAAGAUUAAAACUCAAAUGAAUUGACGGGGGCCCGCACAAGCGGUGGAGCAUGUGGUUUAAUUCGAUGCAACGCGAAGAACCUUACCUACUCUUGACAUCCAGAGAAGCCAGCGGAGACGCAGGUGUGCCUUCGGGAACUCUGAGACAGGUGCUGCAUGGCUGUCGUCAGCUCGUGUUGUGAAAUGUUGGGUUAAGUCCCGCAACGAGCGCAACCCUUAUCCUUGUUUGCCAGCGAGUAAUGUCGGGAACUCCAGGGAGACUGCCGGUGAUAAACCGGAGGAAGGUGGGGACGACGUCAAGUCAUCAUGGCCCUUACGAGUAGGGCUACACACGUGCUACAAUGGCGCAUACAGAGGGCUGCCAACCAGCGAUGGUGAGCGAAUCCCAAAAAGUGCGUCGUAGUCCGGAUUGGAGUCUGCAACUCGACUCCAUGAAGUCGGAAUCGCUAGUAAUCGUGGAUCAGAAUGCCACGGUGAAUACGUUCCCGGGCCUUGUACACACCGCCCGUCACACCAUGGGAGUGGGCUGCAAAAGAAGUGGGUAGUUUAACCUUUCGAGGA